RNAcentral lists this ribosomal RNA (465 nucleotides) under uncultured organism. RNAcentral's name for it is "bacterial SSU rRNA". It matches the Rfam family "Bacterial small subunit ribosomal RNA", at positions 28 to 507 of the family's 1533-position model. The record is from RNAcentral.
GACGAACGCUGGCGGCGUGCCUAACACAUGCAAGUCGAACGGAGAUCAUUUAGCAAUAGGUGAUCUUAGUGGCGGACGGGUGAGUAACGCGUGAGCAACCUGCCCUUCGGUGGGGGACAACAGCUGGAAACGGCUGCUAAUACCGCAUAACGUAUUUGGGAGGCAUCUUCCGAAUACCAAAGAUUUAUUGCCGAGGGAUGGGCUCGCGUCUGAUUAGCUAGUUGGUAGGGUAAAGGCCUACCAAGGCUUCGAUCAGUAGCCGGACUGAGAGGUUGAACGGCCACAUUGGGACUGAGAUACGGCCCAGACUCCUACGGGAGGCAGCAGUGGGGAAUAUUGGGCAAUGGGCGAAAGCCUGACCCAGCAACGCCGCGUGAAGGAAGAAGGCCUUCGGGUUGUAAACUUCUUUGACCAGGGACGAAGAAAGUGACGGUACCUGGAAAACAAGCCACGGCUAACUACGUG